AGACGACUAAGGUCUCCAGUCUACUAUGGAUGAGGAGAGAGGGGAGGGGGGUCCUACCUCUAAGACCACUCUGUCUGGGGAACAUGGCCGCCGGAGCAAAGCCAAAAGCCCAGAGAAACAGGAUAGAGCAGAUAGCGUCUCCGCGUGACCGCUCUAUGGAACAACCUCAUAACUUUAAAGACGGAAAUCCGUCUAUUGAAAAAAGAAGAGUCCAGCAGCAGAGAGCAGACUCCCCUGGACCCAGAUGUGUCUCCAUGAAGAGUGACAGCUCUAUGGAUCCUCCUGUUGGGUUUAAAGAUGGAAAUCAGUCUAUUGAGAAGAGAGUCCAGAAGGAGAGAGCAGACUCCCCUGGACCCAUUUGUGUCUCCAUGAAGAGUGACCACUCUAUGGAUCAUCCUGGCCAGUUUAAAGAUGGAAAUCAGUCUAUUGAGAAGAUGUGAGGAAUAUCAAAGAUCAUAAAGAUACAGCUUCUAUUAAACGUCCAUAAAUCCUG
This is a long non-coding RNA of Gadus morhua (Atlantic cod), 493 nucleotides long. NCBI's taxonomy places the organism in Eukaryota, Metazoa, Chordata, Actinopteri, Gadiformes, Gadidae. The record is from Ensembl.